Brugia pahangi is the source of this 97-nucleotide non-coding RNA. NCBI's taxonomy places the organism in Eukaryota, Metazoa, Nematoda, Chromadorea, Rhabditida, Onchocercidae. The record is from Rfam.
ACGUCUAUGAUGAGAAAAUCAUCCUUGCUCUGCGAGCUCGUUUGUGAAAUUGAAAAUUUCGGAAUUGAGCAGUGAACAGCUUUGGCCUCUGAGACGU